This 364-nucleotide long non-coding RNA is filed under the name Nicotiana tabacum (common tobacco). RNAcentral's name for it is "long non-coding RNA (NTAB_LNC000509)". Lineage: Eukaryota; Viridiplantae; Streptophyta; Magnoliopsida; Solanales; Solanaceae. The record is from RNAcentral.
AUUAAUUGGACUUUUAGUUUAUGUAUUGGAAUUUUAGUUUAUAAAUUGAAAUUUUAGGAUAUGACUUGAAUUUUUGUGGAUAUGAGUUGAACCUUUAGGAUAUGAAUUGAAACAUUAGGAUAUGAAUUGAAAUUUUUGGUUUAUGUAUUGGAAUUUUAGUUUAUAAUUGAAAUUUUAGGAUAUGAAUUGAACUUUUGUGGAUAUGAGUUGAACCUUUAGGAUAUGAAUUGAAAUUUUGGUUUAUGUAUUGGAAUUUUAGUUUAUAAACUGAAAUUUUAGGAUAUGACUUGAACUUUUGUGGAUAUGAGUUGAACUUUUAGGAUAUGAAUUGAACCUUUAGGAUAUGAAUUAAAAUUCAUCGUCC